This 11576-nucleotide long non-coding RNA is filed under the name Triticum aestivum (bread wheat). Its description in RNAcentral is "long non-coding RNA (TAES_LNC009158)". The record is from RNAcentral. Lineage: Eukaryota; Viridiplantae; Streptophyta; Magnoliopsida; Poales; Poaceae.
AACACACACGCGCGCACACACACAAAGCACAGCAGCUAGCUGCAAGCACAAGAAGGAGGCAGCAAUGGCGAGGCAUCGCCUCCUUGCCGUGCUCCUCAUCGGGAUAGUUGCAGCCUCCGCCUUCAACCAAGCAGCUGCGGCUGGCCGAGGCCUUGCUGUCGUCGAGAAAUUUGCAGAGCUAGAGCCAAAGCCAGAACCCAAACCAGAGCCAAUGCCCAAACCUAUGCCACACACAGAGCCAGAGCCAUGCAAACCUGAACCGACGCCCAAACCCAAACAAAAGCCCGGACAGAAGCCUGAACCAAAACCCAAGCCCAAACCGAUGCCAAAACCGAAGCCCGAGCCGUGCUCCAAACCAAAGCCGGGGCCUAAGCCUGAGCCGAUGCCAAAACCCGAACCAAAGCCAGAGCCCAAGCCUGAACCUGAACCGAAACCGAAGCCGCCUUCAAAGUGCAAACCACCGACAACUCACAAUUGAUGGGAUACUUAUAUAUGAGAGUAGUUGGAGGAGACCCCGCACGGAGCCACAAUGUGCUAUUUCUAGAAUAAGUGGUGUAGUAUUCCCUGUAUUCCAUUUCUUUUUAUUUUUCCAUGCGCGCGUGAUGAGUACUAGUACUCUGUAAUUACUAUUUGGUUGUUGGUAUAUGUUCAUCUACUUUGUAUAUGACUCGACUCAUUGUUCUUUUGAGUAUCUACGCAUGAUUGUAUUCAUUCACAUGAAUUAGCUAUUUUGUUAGAGGACUGCAGUCUAUGUUUUUUUUGUAUGGGUUGCAAUCUCGGUUAUUUUCUCUAUGGGAUUGUUUCAUAUUAUGUGGUCUUUUUNNNNNNNNNNNNNNNNNNNNNNNNNNNNNNNNNNNNNNNNNNNNNNNNNNNNNNNNNNNNNNNNNNNNNNNNNNNNNNNNNNNNNNNNNNNNNNNNNNNNNNNNNNNNNNNNNNNNNNNNNNNNNNNNNNNNNNNNNNNNNNNNNNNNNNNNNNNNNNNNNNNNNNNNNNNNNNNNNNNNNNNNNNNNNNNNNNNNNNNNNNNNNNNNNNNNNNNNNNNNNNNNNNNNNNNNNNNNNNNNNNNNNNNNNNNNNNNNNNNNNNNNNNNNNNNNNNNNNNNNNNNNNNNNNNNNNNNNNNNNNNNNNNNNNNNNNNNNNNNNNNNNNNNNNNNNNNNNNNNNNNNNNNNNNNNNNNNNNNNNNNNNNNNNNNNNNNNNGAAGAGAAGGCCUCCCUAAAUUGCAGCACACAUAUGAAAUGUAUAUAGUAUGCGCGUAUGUGUCUGGUGUUCUAGAUGUAUAAAGUGUACUCACACGCCACACAGCGGUUUUGUUCUCUACCCUUCGCCUAUGAACUAAGUCCCGACCAGGUGCGUUAGUAUUUAUACCCAGGCUCUAUGAGUGAGCUGGCUCCAUUGCUAGUUAUACUAGGUAAACGUCACAUACAUUGCUACGGAAAUUUAUAGCAAUGAAAUUUAAAAAAAUACCAUAUAUGUGAAUAAUACUACACAACAUUCUCAACAUAUGACAAUAGAAAACCUAGAUGUAACUGGAGGGUGGAUGCAUGUUAUAUUGUCUUGCAACCUUCAAGUUUAAUUAUUUGUUGUUGAAAGAUAAUAAAUAGUAAAAAAAUAAUAAGGUUAACAGCUUGCGUGUGUUUGAUUAUGUAGAGGGCUUGCAUAUGAUGGAAAGUGAAAAGUCUAAUGAUUACAUGCACCCUUGAUGAUGUAGAGGACUUGCAUGUGAUGAAAAAUGGUAAGUGAAAGUUGAUUGGUUGCAUGUCCUUCAUGAUGUGAUUAAUUUGCAUGUGCAUUUAGACUUACUUAGAUAUAUAGGAUAUGUGUGUGAAAGGUAACUGCACCCCCUGGUCAAGAUUAGUGGCGGAGCUACCCAAAAAUUGUUGGGCAGGUCAAGGUGGCCCAUCCUAAAGGAAACACGUUUUUCUCUCUCAAAAGGCCCAAGUUUACCUAUACUUGGCUAUGGGCUGGGCCGGCUAUGGCCCAUCUGGCCUUGUUGUAGCUCCAACAGUGGUCAAGACUAUCAAGAAAAGGCACCAUGAAAAUUAUAAUAACAGAUUUUCUCUUACUCAAUUCGCAACAAGAAAAAUCUCCCAGUGAUAGUGCUACGCAACAUUCGAGAGACCAUAAUAAUCUCUCACCCAUCCCAUGGUGCUGGCAGGGUCAACUCUAUAAUUUUGAGAGCGCUUGUGUGAAAUUGGCAAAUUGAUAGUCUUUUUCUUUUCUUUAUUGCGCAUGAAAACUCCUUUUAAGCAACAUUAUAGUAACCCUAAAACUGACAAGGAAAGUAAAUAAAGUACAUAAGUAGAAUUUUAGAAAUCAGAGCACUAACAUUUAACAUGCUUCGACGAAUGGGUGGCUCUGGUAAUAUGGCUAUGGGUACGAGGAAUGAGAGGCCUAGAGUGACAAGCUCAUGCUUCGCUGUCACAGAUGUCUGAGGAGGAGGCGAGACGCUCACGUCACCAAGCUACGAGACAAACCUGUGAAGAUGAAAAUCACGAAUUACAAUUAGGAGAACUGGUGACGCCAUGUGUCCGUGUCGCACGCCGAUUAUGAUUCUUUUCCUUUUUAUGGACCAGUUCAACCAACGGCUAAAGGCCUAAAGCUUGCUUCUUGGAGAGCGUGUAUACCUCAAUUUUAGGAAAGCUCCUUCUCAGUGCUUAUAGUGCUCAUUAGUGCCGCAGCGCACAAGAGCUCGCGCGCAUGGGUCAUCGCAUUAAAAGGCAAAGCGGUUGCUUGCUUGGCCACCCACUACACACUUUUUUUGCAAGCCUUUUUUUAAGGAUUCUCUGUUAUUCAAUGAAAAAAAUCCCACCGGUUUUCUAAAUUUAAAAAUUCAUGAAUAUGAAAAUUUUCAAAAAUUUGAAAAACAAUUACAGUUUGAAGAGAAUGAAUUGAAAAUUUUUGAAAAUUUUAAAAAAAAUCACAAAUUCAUUUUUUGUGAAUUUGAAAAAAGGUGAUUCAAAAAAGUUUGUGAAAUUUGAAAAAAAUCUCAUGAAUAUGAAAAAAUGGUCACAAAAUUGAAAAACUUCAAAAAUUUGAAAAAAAUGUUAGAGAAGUUUAAAAAUAAAAUAAUUAGAAAAAGAGAAAAAAAAAGGCAGAAGAGUAAAAAAGAAAAAUCAGGAUGAAAGUUUCCAUAACCAAAGUUGGCCCAUAAGCUUCUGGAAGCUUCCUAAAACCGACGGGAGGGAGCUUCUGCUCAUGUAAAUGCCAUAGAUUGGGCAGCCCUUUUACAAUCUAUUGAAGCAAGAGGUGCAUGCGCUUUUUAUCAAUAACUUGGAAACCAAUGGUAAAUAGCAUAUCUCCACUUUUAGCGCGGCGUAGAACGGAAUUCGACUACAGAUCCACAGUAUGGGCCAAUCCCAACAUGUUUUUCUAACAAGCUACUUUUUCUAUUGGGGCAGAUGUCUCACUCUAACGAGUAGGAUUUUUUUGUUCUUAUUUUCACAUUUUUCUUUUCAUUUUUUCUAAUUUUCUAGAAAACGCUCUAUAACAUAUAUGGGUGAUCAUAUAAUUUAAUAAGUUUUCAUGUACUUUAAAAAUGUUCAUCACCUAUUUAUAAAACGUUUUCAAAAUAUGAAACAUUUUUAAAAUACAAUUACAAUUACAAAAAGUGUUCAUAUUUUUCUGAAAAUAUACACUAUGAACAUUUUGAACAAUACGGAUGAAGAUUUAUUUUAAUACAUGAUGAACCUUUGUAAUCACAAUAUUUUCUAAAAAUACACAAAGAUUUUUAUAUACACAAUAAAUAUGUUGUUCAUACACGAUGAACAUUUUGUAAAAACAUGAGUGAACAUUGCCCAACUCCGAUGAGGAAGGGGCAAUGAUGGUAGUACCCCUUCGGCUUGCUCGACUGAUUGUAGACAUCGCUAGGUGGUCUAUGGACCUGAACAUAAGUUCUAUUACCUCUGGUGUUCUUGUAUUGACAUGAUGGUUGAUAAGUAGAUCGGAUUUUUUCGAUAUUUUUUUAAGAAAAAUGUUCAACUUGUCUUACAAAUUGUUCCGAAGAUUAAGAAAAAUAUAUUCGCAUUUUUUAAAAAGAACAUUGCAUUUCAAUUUUUUCACAUGUUUAGAAAUUGUUCAUGGCAAUAUUGAAAUAUAAAAAAUGUGUUAUUACAGUUUUGGAAAAAUGUUUGUGGUAUAUAAAAAUUGUUCAUCAUGUAUUUAUAAAACAAUCAAACUUGUAUUAAAAAAUAUUAUAUGUAUAUUUUAAAAAUGUUUAUUAUUUUUAAUAUUUUCAAUAUGUAUUUGAAAAUAGGAAAAUGAAAAACAAAACAUGAAGCAAUGAACAGGAAAAGUAAAAGAGAAACCAAAAAUGAAAAACCUAAACAAACCCAAUAAAGAAAACCCAGACAAAACGUUAUGAGAUCACAAGAAACAAACAAAUGCUACACACCUCCACCACUACUGGGCCACAGCCCACACCGCAUCGCCAGAGGUGAGCGCCUCGCGGUAGGCAGAGACAUAGCAUUUGCGUAAAAUGACCGCACGAAUUGAACAAACUGUCGGCUAGCUAGUUAUUAGAAAGACAUGUAACUUAAUUCAAACUCAACAAAAUUAUAGGUACAAUGCUUUGGAUCAUAGAUACAAGAAAUUAUAAAAUAACUCAUAUAACUAAGAAUUACAAUGAAACCCUCUUGAGUCAAAAUAUGAUAAACAGAGGAAAAAACAUUAGCACAUAUAAUCUUUACUCUAUCCGAAUAUAUGGCGGUGCUAAACUCAGCAACCCCAUUAGUUUUGGAGCUCCGGUUUCAUGGAGCCUUUUUUGGAAAAUCAUACAUUAAUAACUAAAACACGCGCGUGCAUGAGACUGGAGAAUGAGGGGCAUGCAACAUCAAAAUAGGUUAGUUUGUCGGAAUUAUAAGAUUUAAUAAUUUGAGACAAUAUGCAUAAUAAAACCCUCACUAGUGCAGUGUCGAAAACGCUCUUAUAUUGUGGGAUGGAGGAGUACAAUUUUGAAACUGUGCCCAGUAUAUCGGGCCAGAGGGAGAGCUUGAGAAAACACUGAGUCAGCGAAAACUCAGGUGUACGAAGCAGACCAUGGAGCCUUGGGGCUUCUUAACAGGUGGUCCUCACGCACGAGGUGGCUGCACAAUUGGGCCAGUUCCUUACCGGAGACCUUUCCUUUCCAUUCAUUGUGAAUUGAACUGAAGCGAUUGCUUUUUACUUUGUAUUGCAUUGCACAAACGUGUACACUGUCUAUCUUAAUUUCUAAAUGAUGGCCGGUCACAUGGACGUGUGAGCACGGGAUUGACAAGGCAACUAACACAAUUCUACUACUACGAGGAGGCAACUGAUAAUAUUGUUACUCACCCUACUAUCAUCAGAUGGAGACACACAAACAUAAUCCACUGGACAAGGCAACUAACAUAAUUUCUAUUACCACGAGGUUGCAACUAAUAGAGUAAAAAUAUUGUUACUCACAUGUACUAUCAUCAAAGAGACACACACGCAGAAUCCAGCUGUGCGUAUUAACACCUCUAGCUACCUCCGUAGGUCGCUUCAUUUGUAAUCAACUAAUCAACCAAUAUAACUCCAUUGACAUGUUACCCAGUACUACUUGUCACUCCAGCUACCUAGCUGCAAUUCUAAUUAAUGCACCCUCCAGAUCUGUUUUGUUUCACCCAGCCUAUAAAACCACACAGUAUGUAUCUCCAGCUCUCCACACAACACACACGCGCGCACACACAAAGCGCAGCAGGUUCAACACUAGCUACAAUCACAAGUAGGCAGCAAUGGCGAGGCAUCGCCUCCUCGCCGUGCUCCUCAUCGGCAUAGUUGCAGCCUCCGCCUUCAACCAAGCAGCUGUGGCUGGCCGAGGCCUUGCUGCCAUCGAGAAGUUUGCAGAGCUAGAGCCAAAGCCAGAACCUAAACAAGAGCUAAUGCCCAAACCUAUGCCACACACAGAGCCAGAGCCAUGCAAACCUGAACCGACGCCCAAACCCAAACCAAAGCCCGAACAAAAGCCUGGACAUAAGCCUGAGCCAGAACCCAAGCCCAAGCCGAUGCCAAAACCGAAGCCCGAGCCCUGCUCCAAACCAAAGCUGGUGCCAAAACCCGAACCAAAGCCAGAGCCCAAGCCUGAACCUGAACCGAAACCGAAGCCGCCUCCAAAGUGCAAACCACCGACAACGCACAAUUGAUGGGAUGCUUAUAUAUGAGAGUUGAUGGAGGAGACCCCGCACGGAGCCACACUGUGCUAUUUCUAGAAUAAGUGGUGUAGUACUCCUUGUAUUCCAUUUCUUUCUAUUUUUCCAUGCAGAGUACGUACUAGUACUCUGUAAUUACUAUUUGCUUGUUGGUAUAUGUUCAUCUACUUUGUAUGUGACUGACUCGUUGUUCUUUUGAGUAUCUACGCAUGAUUGUAUUCAUUCACAUCAAUGAGCUAUUUCGUUAGUGGACUGCAGUCUAUGUUGUUUUCUCUAUGGGGUUGUUUCAUAUUAUGUGGUCUUUUUUGGGGGGAAAGACGAUGUCAACAAAAAAGAAGAAAAUGACUCCCUAAAUAGCAGCACACAUAUGAAGUGUAUAGUGUGCGCGUACGUGCCUGGUGUUCUAGAUGUAUAAAGUGUACUCACACGCAAGACAACAGCCUUGUUCUCUACCCUUCACCUAUGAGCUAAGUCCCGACCGUGUGCGUUAGUAUUUAUGCCCAGGCUGACUCCGCUGCUGGUUAUACUAGCUAAACUUUGCACACAUUGCUACGAAAAUUUAUAGCAAUGAAAUUUUGAAAACUAGCAUAUAUGGGGAUAAUACUACACAACAUUCUCACCAUAUGUCAAUGAAAACCUACAUGUAAUGGAGGGUGGAUGCAUUUUAUAUUGUCUUGUGACCUUAUAGUUUAAUUAUUUCUUGCUGAACAUAAAUAGUAAAAAAUAAUGAGGUGAAGAGCUUUCAUGUGUUUGAUGAUGUGGAGGACUUGCAUAUGAUGAAAAGUGAAAAGUUGAAUGAUUACAUGCACGCUUGAUGAUAUGGAGGACUUGCCUGUGAUGAAAAGUGGUAAGUGAAAGUUUAUUGGCUGCAUGCCCUUCAUAAUGUGAUUGACAUGCAUGUGUAUUUAAAUGGGAUGACUUACUUAGAUACUAUAUAGGAUAUGUUUGAAAGAUAACUACACCCCCUAGGUCAAGAUUACCAAGAAAAACACCAUGGAAAUUAUUAUUAAUAGAUUUUCUCUUACUCAAUUCGCAACAAGAAAAAACACUCAACGACAAUGCUAUGCAACAUAAGAGAGACCACAAUAAUCUCUCACCCACCCCAUGGUACUGCCAGGGUAGGCUCUAUGAUUUUAAGAGCCCUUGGGUGAAGUUGGCGAAUUGAUCAUCCUUAUUUUUUCCUUUUUCAACACUCAACAAAUCUUUUUUAAGAAACAUUAUAGUAACCCUAAAACUGACGAGGAAAGUAAAUACAUAAAUUGAACUUUGAAAUUAGAGGUCUAACAUUUAACAUGCUUCGAGGAAUGGGUGGCACUGAUAAUAUGGCUAUGGAUGCAUGCAAUGAGAGAUCUAGAGAGUGACAAGCUCGUGCCUUGUUGUCCUUGACGUAUGAGGAGGCGGCGAGACUCACGUCGUCAAGCUUCGAGACAAACCUGCAACGACGAAGAUCGUGAAUUGCAAUAAGGAGAACUGGUGAUGCCAUGUGUCCAUGUCGCAUACCGAUUGUGAUUCUUUUCCUUUUGAUGGACUAGUUCAACCAACGGCUAAAAGCCUAAAGCUUGCUUUUAGGAGAGCGUGUAUACCUCACUUUUAGUAGAGCUCCUUCUCAACGCUUAUAGCGCUCGCUGCAGCGCACAUGUGCUCGUGCAAAUGGGUCUUCCCAUUAAUUGGUAAAGCAGUUGCUCGCCCGACCGCCCACUACACUCCUUUUUUGCCGCCUUCUUUUCCUGGUAUUGCUCUAUAUAUUAUUCAAUGAAAGAAAACUUCCACCGGGUUUACAAAUUUAAAAAAAUCAUGAAUAUGAAAAGGUUCACAAAUGUGAAAAAAUACGGAUUUGAAAAUAUAAUUUAUUCAAAAACAUGGACAACUUCUAAAAAAUCACAAAUUCAUUUUUUGCGAAUUCGAAAAGGUGAAUUAAAAAAUUGUAAUUUCAAAAAACUCGCAAAUAUGAAAAAAUGUUCACAAAAUAAAGAGUUCAUGAAUUUAAAAAUAAUAAAAGAAUGCAAACAGAAAAGAGAAACAAGGCGGAAAAGUAAAAAAGAAAAACCAGGCAGAAAGUUUACAGAACCAAAGUUGACCCAUAAGCUUUUGGAAAAUUCCUAAAAACGGGAGGGAGCUUCCGCUCACGUAAACCCCAUAGAUUGGCCACCCCUUAUACGAUCUAUUGAAGGAAGAGGUGUAUGCGCUUUCUACCAAUAACUUAGACACUAGUGCUAAAUAGCAUAUUUCCACUUUUAGCGAGGGGUAGAACGAAAUUUGACUAUAAAGCCACGGCAUGGGCCAAUCGCAACAUUUUCUUUCUAACAAACAAGAUUUUUCUAUAGGGGCACACGUCUCACUCUAAUGAGCGUGUUUUUUUCAUUCUUAUUUUCACUUUUUUUUCUCAUUUUCUAGAAAACGUUCUAUAAAAUAUAUGGGUUUGUACUUUUGGUAAGUGAUCAUGUAGUUUAAUAAGUGUAAAUGUACUUAAAAAUGCUCAUCAUGUAUUUAUAAAACAUUUUCAAAAAAAUCAAACAUUUUUCAAAUACACAUAGAACUGAAAAGUGUUCAAAUAUUUUCCGAAAAUAUACACUGUGAACAUUUUGAACAAUAUAGGAUGAAGAUUUCUUUCAAUACAUGAUGAACCUUUCAAAUAACAAUAUUUUUCUAAAAUUGCACAAUGAUUUUUUUAAAUCCAUGAUAAUGUUUAAAUAUACAAUAUUAUUUUCAUACACGACGAACAUUUUGAAAAAACAUGAGUGAGCAUUGCCCAACUCCCAUGAGGGAGGGGCGAUGAUCGUGGUGCACUUUCGGCUUGGUCGAGUGAUUGUAGACAUCGCUAGGUGGUCUAUGGAACUGGAUGUAAGUUAUGUUACUUCAGGUGUUCUUAUACUGACAUGAUAGUUGAUAAAUAGAUCGAAAGUUUUUUUUUGUAAAAAAUAAAAGAAACAUUUCGAACUUGUCUUAAAAAUUGUUCCUGAGAUUUUGAAAAUAUAUUUGCCUUGUUCCAAAAAAUUACAUUUUCAUUUUUCACAUGUUUAGAAAAUUGUUCAUGGCAAUACUAAAAAUGUUUCAUUAUAAAAAAAGUUCUUACAUUUUUUAUAAAAAUGUUCAUAGUAUAUCAAAAAAUUUCAUCAUGUAUUUAUAAAACGUUCAAAUAUGUAUUGGAAAAAUAUUAUAUGUGUAUUUUUAAAAAUAUUUUGAAAAAAAAUCAGCAUGUAUUUGAAAUAUGGAAAAAUGAAAAAGAAAAUACAAAACAAAACAUGAAAUAAAUGAAGAAAAGUAAAAGGGGUAUGAAAAUGAAAAACCUAAAGAAACGCGAUAAAGAAACCAGAAGAAAAAACCCAAACAGAAUGUUUCAAAAAUCGCACGAAACGAACCAAUGCUACGCCUCCACCGCGACUGGGCCACAGCCCGCACACCAUUGCCAGAGGUGAGGGCCGCAUUUGCGCAAAAUGACCGCACACAUUGAACAAACUGUCAGCUAGCUAGUUAUUAGAAUGACAUGUAACUUUAUUCAAACUCAACAAAGUUACAGGUACAAUGCUUUGAUCAUGCAUACAAGAAAUUAUAAAAUAAUUCCUAUAACUAAGAAUUACGAUGCAACCCUCUUGAGUAAAAGUAUGACAAACGGAGGAAAAAAAUAUUAGCACAAUAUAAUCCUUGCUCUAUCCGAAUAUAUGGCGGUACAAAACUCAGCAACCCCGUUCGUUUUGGAGCUCCGGCUCCAUGAGGCCUUUUUUGGAAAAUCAGACAUGCAUAACUAAAACAUACGUGAUCUAACAUAUCUUAUAUUAGUUUACAGAGGGAGUACAUGCAUAAGUAAAACAUACGCAUGCAUGAGACUGGAGAAUGAGGGGCAUGCAUCGUCAAAAUAGGGUAGUUUGUCGGACAGUUAUAAGAUUUAAUAAUUUGGGGCAAUAAGCAUGAUAAAUCCUCAUUGGUAUCUAUAAUUUUGAAACUGUGCCCAGUAUACCGGGCCAGAGGGAGUGCUUGAGAAACACUUUUUACAAAAAGAAGGAUAACCCCUGAUCUAUGCAUAAGCAAUGCACACAGCCACUUUUAUUAUAUUAUUCAACAAAAUCUGACAAAACUAGUACAUGGACAACAUAAAGCCAUCUUCAUGGCAACCACUUGAGAAAACACUGAGUCCGUGAAAACUCGGUCGACGAAGCAGUCCAGGGAGCCUUGGGGCUUCCAACAGGUGGUGAAGCUCCCGCACAGGGUGUACGAUCGGGCCAAUUCCUUUCCAUUGUGAAUUGAACUGAAGUGAUUGCUUUUUUUUUACUUUGUAUUGCAAUUGCACUAACAUAAUUCUAAUGAUGGACGGUCACAUGGACGUGUGAGCACGGGAUUGACAAGCCAACUAACAUAAUUCUAUUACUACGAGGAUGCAACUAAUAGACUAAAAAUAUUGUUACUCACCCCCGCUGUCAUAACAAAGAGACACACACGCAAAAUCCAGCUGUGCUUAUUAACACCUCUACCUACCUAGGUUGCUUCAUUUGUAAUCAACUAAUCAACGAAUAUAACUCCAUUGACGUGUUAUGCAGUACUCUUUCACUUCAGCUAGCUAGCUGCAAUUCUAAUUAAUGCAGCCUCCAGAUCUGCUUUGUUUCACCAAGCCUAUAAAACCACACAAUAUGUAUCUCCAGUUCUCCACACAACACACACACACACACACACACACACACAAAACACAGCAGGUGCAACACUAGCUAGCUGUAAGCAUAAGAAGUAGGCAGCAAUGGCGAGGCAUCGCCUCCUCGUCGUGCUCCUCAUCGGGAUAGUUGCAGCCUCCGCCUUCAACCAAGCAGCUGCCGCUGGCCGAGGCCUUGCUGUCGUUGAGAAGUUUGCAGAGCUAGAGCCAAAGCCAGAGCCCAAACCAGAACCAAUUCCCAAGCUUACGCCACACCCAGAGCCAGAGCCUUGCAAACCUGAACCAAUGCCCAAACCCAAACCAAAACCCGAACAAAAGCCCGGACAGAAGCCCGAACCAGAACCCAAGCCCAAGCCAAUGCCAAAACCAAAGCCCGAGCCCUGCUCCAAACCAAAGCCAGAUCCUAAGCCCGAGCCGAUGCCGAAACCCGAACCAAAGCCGGAGCCCAAGCCUAAACCUGAACCGAAACCGAAGCCGCCUCCGAAGUGCAAAUCACCGGCAACACACAAUUGAUGGGAUAAUUAUAUAUGACACUUGACGAAGGAGACCUGGAAUGGAGCCACACUGUGUUAUUGUUAGAAUAAGUGGUGUAGUAUUCUCUGUAUUCACUUUCUUUUUAUUGUUCCAUGAGCGCGUGAUGAGUAUUAGAACUCUGUGAUUAUUAUUUUCUUGUUGCUAUAUGUUCAUCUACUUUGUAUGUGACCAGACUCGUUGUUCUUUUGAGUAUAAGUGCAUGAUUGUAUUCAUUCGCAUGAAUGAGCUAUGUUGUCCAGUGGGCUGCAGUCUAUUGUUG